AGCGAACGCUGGCGGCAGGCUUAACAUAUGCAAGUCGAACGGGCAUAGCAAUAUGUCAGUGGCAGACGGGUGAGUAACGCGUGGGAACGUACCUUUUGGUUCGGAACAACACAGGGAAACUUGUGCUAAUACCGGAUAAGCCCUUACGGGGAAAGAUUUAUCGCCGAAAGAUCGGCCCGCGUCUGAUUAGCUAGUUGGUAGGGUAAUGGCCUACCAAGGCGACGAUCAGUAGCUGGUCUGAGAGGAUGAUCAGGCACAUUGGGACUGAGACACGGCCCAAACUCCUACGGGAGGCAGCAGUGGGGAAGAUUGGGGAAUGGGCGAAAGCCUGAUCCAGCCAUGCCGCGUGAGUGAUGAAGGCCCUAGGGUUGUAUAGCUCUUUUGUGCGGGAAGAUAAUGACGGUACCGCAAGAAUAAGCCCCGGCUAACUUCGUG
This 435-nucleotide ribosomal RNA is filed under the name uncultured bacterium. RNAcentral's name for it is "partial 16S ribosomal RNA". It matches the Rfam family "Bacterial small subunit ribosomal RNA", at positions 29 to 507 of the family's 1533-position model. The record is from RNAcentral.